AUGGUUCCAGAUUUCUUUCCUAGGGUUUCUAUCUCCAGUGUUGCCUCACUUUGAGUUUUCUUUAUUGUUUCUACUUCCCUUUUUAGGUCUAGUAUGGUUUUGUUCAUUUCCAUCACCUGUUUGUAUGUUUUUUCCUCUUUUUCUGUAAGGACUUCUACCUGUUUGAUUGUGUUUUCCUGUUUUUCUUUAAGGACUUGUAACUCUUUAGCAGUGUUCUCCUGUAUUUCUUUAAGUGAUUUAUUAAAGUCCUUCUUGAUGUCCUCUACCAUCAUCAUGAGAUAUGCUUUUAAAUCUAGGUCUAGGUUUUCGGGUGUGUUGGGGUGCCCUGGACUGGGCGAAGUGGGAGUACUGGGUUCUGAUGAUGCUCAUAUGACCAAGUUCAGGAUGGCCAAGAGCUCCAGACAACUCUAGAUCUGCACUCACCCUAAAUACAUGCGUCCAUUAGCAUUUCCAGGCAGAGAGAUCAAAGCAAUGAAGACUGAGGAGCUAUAUGCUGGGGUGAAAACCUGCUAAGUCAGAGAAUCAGAGAAGAUGCCAGCUGACCUCCCUACUCCACUGACAUCCCAGAAGGCAAAACCCUCUCUCUCCUUCGCCAUGCUGUCUUAAAUACUUUUCAGCUCAAAGACCAUCCUUUCUGUUUACUUCCAUUCCUGUCAGCUGGUUCCUUGCUCUGCCUUUUGACCUGUCAUCGACCUUAUUUAGCUCUUGUUUACCCAAAGGUCUUCCACUACAGGUGUGUGCUUGGGCUGAACCACACCACAACUACUUGUUUACAAUAAACAGAAAGCUCUUGGGUUAAUGGUA
Long non-coding RNA from Mus musculus (house mouse), 804 nucleotides. RefSeq annotates it as predicted gene, 40691. NCBI's taxonomy places the organism in Eukaryota, Metazoa, Chordata, Mammalia, Rodentia, Muridae. The transcript has 3 exons. The record is from RefSeq and is a predicted model, not a curated record.